This 497-nucleotide ribosomal RNA is filed under the name uncultured bacterium. RNAcentral describes it as "partial 16S ribosomal RNA". It matches the Rfam family "Bacterial small subunit ribosomal RNA", at positions 28 to 507 of the family's 1533-position model. The record is from RNAcentral.
GAUGAACGCUGGCGGCGUGCCUAAUACAUGCAAGUCGAGCGAACGGACGAGAAGUUUGCUUCUCUGAUGUUAGCGGCGGACGGGUGAGUAACACGUGGAUAACCUACCUAUAAGACUGGGAUAACUUCGGGAAACCGGAGCUAAUACCGGAUAAUAUUUUGAACCGCAUGGUUCAAAAGUGAAAGACGGUCUUGCUGUCACUUAUAGAUGGAUCCGCGCUGCAUUAGCUAGUUGGUAAGGUAACGGCUUACCAAGGCAACGAUGCAUAGCCGACCUGAGAGGGUGAUCGUCCACACUGGAACUGAGACACGGUCCAGACUCCUACGGGAGGCAGCAGUAGGGAAUCUUCCGCAAUGGGCGAAAGCCUGACGGAGCAACGCCGCGUGAGUGAUGAAGGUCUUCGGAUCAUAAAACUCUGUUAUUAGGGAAGAACAUAUGUGUAAGUAACUGUGCACAUCUUGACGGUACCUAAUCAGAAAGCCACGGCUAACUACGUG